CUGUGUGUGUUUGUGUUCUCCUUUUCCGUUCCAAAGAUCCCCCUUUUUCUGAAUGAGGUCUUGGUAUUUAUAAUGAUUUUUCUGUGACCCGAUGGGCUCAGAAUGAAGCCCAAAAUUUCUGGUAUUCGCAAGCUUCGCUAGGCGAGUGGUGCAGCGAAGGGUUCGCUAGGCGAAGGAUUUGCUCGCCUAGCGAGCAUGCCAGUUUAAGUCCUUUU
RNAcentral lists this long non-coding RNA (215 nucleotides) under Lathyrus oleraceus (garden pea). Its description in RNAcentral is "Pisum sativum (pea) long non-coding RNA (PSAT_LNC012959)". Lineage: Eukaryota; Viridiplantae; Streptophyta; Magnoliopsida; Fabales; Fabaceae. The record is from RNAcentral.